Molecule: small RNA, 176 nt
Filed under: Luteibacter rhizovicinus
Lineage: Bacteria; Pseudomonadati; Pseudomonadota; Gammaproteobacteria; Lysobacterales; Rhodanobacteraceae
Description: Manganese sequence
Rfam family: Manganese Mn2+ riboswitch aptamer (yybP-ykoY)
About the family: This RNA was originally discovered in E. coli during a large scale screen and was named SraF.
Source: RNAcentral
GCCGAAGUCAUUGGGGAGUAGCCAUCCUCUACCCCGAGGAGUUCGCGUCAACAUACUUGGUGGCCUCGUGCCCCAUGGCGCGAACGGCACAGCGCCCGGAGAGUGCGCUGCCCGCCCGGCGAGACCUUUGGCCAGCGACAUGCUUACCCGGGCCGGGCGAGCGGUGUGGCUGUGCC